RNAcentral lists this ribosomal RNA (281 nucleotides) under uncultured Staphylococcus sp. RNAcentral's name for it is "partial 16S ribosomal RNA". It matches the Rfam family "Bacterial small subunit ribosomal RNA", at positions 82 to 354 of the family's 1533-position model. The record is from RNAcentral. Lineage: Bacteria; Bacillati; Bacillota; Bacilli; Caryophanales; Staphylococcaceae.
CUCCUUGACGUUAGCGGCGGACGGGUGAGUAACACGUGGGUAACCUACCUAUAAGACUGGGAUAACUUCGGGAAACCGGAGCUAAUACCGGAUAAUAUUUCGAACCGCAUGGUUCGAUAGUUAAAGGUGGUUUUUGCUAUCACUUAUAGAUGGACCCGCGCCGUAUUAGCUAGUUGGUAAGGUAACGGCCUACCAAGGCGACGAUACGUAGCCGACCUGAGAGGGUGAUCGGCCACACUGGAACUGAGACACGGUCCAGACUCCUACGGGAGGCAGCAGGC